Molecule: ribosomal RNA, 253 nt
Filed under: uncultured bacterium
Lineage: Bacteria
Description: partial 16S ribosomal RNA
Rfam family: Bacterial small subunit ribosomal RNA
Source: RNAcentral
UACGAAGGGGGCUAGCGUUGCUCGGAAUCACUGGGCGUAAAGCGCGCGUAGGCGGGUCGUUAAGUCGGGGGUGAAAUCCUGGAGCUCAACUCCAGAACUGCCUUUGAUACUGGCGAUCUUGAGUCUGGGAGAGGUGAGUGGAACUCCGAGUGUAGAGGUGAAAUUCGUAGAUAUUCGCAAGAACACCAGUGGCGAAGGCGGCUCACUGGCCCGGUACUGACGCUGAGGUGCGAAAGCGUGGGGAGCAAACAGG